RNAcentral lists this ribosomal RNA (887 nucleotides) under uncultured bacterium. RNAcentral's name for it is "bacterial SSU rRNA". It matches the Rfam family "Bacterial small subunit ribosomal RNA", at positions 96 to 985 of the family's 1533-position model. The record is from RNAcentral.
UGGCGCACGGGUGCGUAACGCGUAACCAACCUACCCGAAUCUGGGGGAUAGCCCGCCGAAAGGCGGAUUAAUACCGCAUAAAACUGCAGGGCGGCAUCGUUCAACAGUUAAAGAUUUAUUGGAUUCGGAUGGGGUUGCGUGCCAUUAGCUAGUUGGGGGGGUAACGGCCCACCAAGGCGACGAUGGCUAGGGGAGCUGAGAGGCUGGUCCCCCACACGGGCACUGAGAUACGGGCCCGACUCCUACGGGAGGCAGCAGUAGGGAAUAUUGGGCAAUGGUCGAGAGACUGACCCAGCCAUGCCGCGUGCAGGAUGAAGGCUUUCUGAGUCGUAAACUGCUUUUGCCAGGGAAGAAAAAAGGGGAUGCGUCCUCUACUGACGGUACCUGGUGAAUAAGCACCGGCUAACUCCGUGCCAGCAGCCGCGGUAAUACGGAGGGUGCAAGCGUUGUCCGGAUUUAUUGGGUUUAAAGGGUGCGUAGGCGGCUUUUUAAGUCUGGGGUGAAAGCCCGUUGCUCAACAACGGAACUGCCCUGGAAACUGGAGAGCUUGAGUACAGACGAGGGUGGCGGAAUGGAUACUGUAGCGGUGAAAUGCAUAGAUAGUAUCCAGAACCCCGAUUGCGAAGGCAGCUGCCUAGACUGUAACUGACGCUGAGGCACGAAAGCGUGGGGAGCGAACAGGAUUAGAUACCCUGGAGUCCACGCCGUAAACGAUGGAUACUCGCUGGUGGCGAUAGACGGUCACUGGCUUAGCGAAAGCGUUAAGUAUCCCACCUGGGGAGUACGCUCGCAAGAGUGAAACUCAAAAGAAUUGACGGGGGCCCGCACAAGUGGUGGAGCAUGUGGUUUAAUUCGAUGAUACGCGAGGAACCUUACCUAGGCUAGAA